Molecule: long non-coding RNA, 1810 nt
Organism: Anolis carolinensis (green anole)
Lineage: Eukaryota; Metazoa; Chordata; Lepidosauria; Squamata; Anolidae
Gene: fxyd6
Product: FXYD domain containing ion transport regulator 6
Exons: 8
Source: RefSeq, a predicted model, not a curated record
UCUCUUCUCUUCCCUGCUGCCCCUCCCUCUUUUAGAGCCCGAGGGCGAGCCAGGCACGAGGGGACGCCCGACUCAGCGGCGGAGAAGGAGGAGAAGGAGAGGAAGAAGAGGAGGAAGAAGAGGAAGAGGAGGCGAGGGAGAAACAGCAGAAGCCCCCGCCCAGCCCAUCCCAGUCCAUCCCAGUCCAUCUCCGCCUUCACGCCUCGUUGGGAAGGAAGUGAACAUGGAAAGGACCCUCGUCUUCCUUUGGUCCCUGCUGGUCCCAGUGAUGCUGGCGGAUGUUGCCGACCAAGAAAAGGAGAAGGACCCCUUCAACUAUGACUACCAGACCCUCCGGAUCGGUGGCUUGGUCUUUGCCGUGGUCUUCUUCACCGUCGGGAUCCUGCUCAUCCUGAGCAGGCGGUGUAAGUGCAGCUUCAACCAAAAGCCAAGGGCUCCCGGAGAUGCAGAGGCACCAGGGGAAAAUCUGAUUGCCUCCAAUGCAACCGGAGCACAAAAAGCUGAGAACUGAACACAAGCCAUGAGACCCAGAGACCCAGGGCGGCCCCAUAACAGCCUCUGCUUCUGUCCUCUCCCCAUCCAGACCCAGAGACGGACUCACGGACCCCUCGCCCCCGAUGCCCCGCCGUGCGGAGGAGAGCGGUGCCGGGGGGCGGGCGGACCGCUCUCUGCCUCGCAUCGCCCACCUCUCCCAGUGUGCCCCCUCCCCACAGGACAGCGCCCCCUCCCCUCCCCGCGCCAGUGCUGUCCGCCGUGUGAUGUUCAUCCGUGGUGAUCGUGGCCUCCACUUUGCUGUCGUCGUGUGAGUCUGUCGCUCCUUGCCAGCCUUGUGCCCUUGUGACAUGGUGGUGGUGCUGUUGCCUUGGAGGAUUUGGGGAGGGGGGGAUGGAUGGAAGGAAGGAAAGCGAGAAAGACAAGACCCCCCCCCCCCCAGAAGAUGAAAGGUGUGUGUUUUGGAACCUGCGCUUUGCAGGGCCAACACUAAGAGCCCUCCUGGCCAAAUUGGGGCAGGUCUGGGAAGUGGGAGACCCUCCUUCACUAAAGGUGUUUGGGUGGGUCUUGUGCCCCCAGACCCAUGCUCUUCACAUCCAGCUAUUGGCAAUAUCCACCCUUGCUUUGCAAUGUUUUCACAGAGUGCUUUGCAAAACCUCAGUGAGAACAAAGACGCUAUGGUAGGUAUGGGUCAACUUGGGUCCGUCCAGGUGUUUUGGAUUGCAACUCCCACCAUUCCUAACAGCCUCAGGCCCUUUCCUUUUCCUCCCCAGCCGCUUAAGCGGCUGGGGAGGAAAAGAAAGGGGCCUGAGGCUGUUAGGAAUGGUGGGAGUUGCAGUCCAAAACACCUGGAUGAACCCAAGUUGGCCCAGGUGUCAAAGGGAUGACUUCAUGAGUUCUUGGUCGGGCCUGAGGCUGUUAGGAAUGGUGGGAGUUGGAGUCCAAAACACCUGGACGGACCAAGUUGGCCCAUGCCUGCCCUAUUGUAUGGAAGGAAGGAAGGCAGCCCUGCCCCCCCUCCACGCUUUGGCUUUGUGCCCCCUCCCCUUUACGUCACCCCGUGGCCUGUCUGUCGUGUGCUCCUCCUCCUCGUCAUCGUCGUGGUGUGCCGUUGGUGAACAGCCGUUCCGGGGGGCCAGCCGUGCAAAUGUCGUGAGCCUGACCUCCGGCCCUCUUCCGAAGACCCUUCCCUCGUGGCCGAGGACCUCCUCUGCAGUAUUAUUCUUAAUUAUUCUUAUUAUUUGUCUGUGUUGUGUCUCACAGCCCGAGAAGGGGACAAAGAGAAAACAAAGAGAAUAAAAUCUUGUUUCUAUUUCAA